GACGGAUGAUUUCUUCGGAAUGAAACCAGAUAUGACUUAGUGGCGGACGGGUGAGUAACACGUGAGCAACCUGCCUUUCAGAGGGGGAUAACGGCUGGAAACGGUCGCUAAUACCGCAUGAUGUGUUCGGAUGGCAUCAUCUGAACAUCAAAGAUUUAUCGCUGAAAGAUGGGCUCGCGUCUGAUUAGAUAGUUGGUGGGGUAACGGCCUACCAAGUCUACGAUCAGUAGCCGGACUGAGAGGUUGAACGGCCACAUUGGGACUGAGAUACGGCCCAGACUCCUACGGGAGGCAGCAGUGGGGAAUAUUGCACAAUGGGGGAAACCCUGAUGCAGCAACGCCGCGUGAAGGAUGACGGUUUUCGGAUUGUAAACUUCUUUUCUUAGUGACGAAGACAGUGACGGUAGCUAAGGAAUAAGCAUCGGCUAACUACGUGCCAGCAGCCGCGGUAAUACGUAGGAUGCAAGCGUUAUCCGGAUUUACUGGGUGUAAAGGGAGCGCAGGCGGGACUGCAAGUUGGAUGUGAAAUACCGUGGCUUAACCACGGAACUGCAUCCAAAACUGUAGUUCUUGAGUGAAGUAGAGGCAAGCGGAAUUCCGAGUGUAGCGGUGAAAUGCGUAGAUAUUCGGAGGAACACCAGUGGCGAAGGCGGCUUGCUGGGCUUUAACUGACGCUGAGGCUCGAAAGUGUGGGGAGCAAACAGGAUUAGAUACCCUGGUAGUCCACACUGUAAACGAUGAUAGCUAGGUGUGGGGGGUCUGACCCCUUCCGUGCCGGAGUUAACGCAAUAAGCUAUCCACCUGGGGAGUACGACCGCAAGGUUGAAACUCAAAGGAAUUGCGG
Molecule: ribosomal RNA, 844 nt
Filed under: uncultured bacterium
Lineage: Bacteria
Description: bacterial SSU rRNA
Rfam family: Bacterial small subunit ribosomal RNA
Source: RNAcentral